RNAcentral lists this transfer RNA (56 nucleotides) under Cavia porcellus (domestic guinea pig). It matches the Rfam family "tRNA", at positions 9 to 63 of the family's 71-position model. Rfam says of the family: Transfer RNA (tRNA) molecules are approximately 80 nucleotides in length. Their secondary structure includes four short double-helical elements and three loops (D, anti-codon, and T loops). Lineage: Eukaryota; Metazoa; Chordata; Mammalia; Rodentia; Caviidae. The record is from Rfam by way of RNAcentral.
AGCUUAGUGGUAGAGCGCUUACCUAGCAUGUGUGAGGACCUGGGUUCAAUCCCCAG